GAUGAACGCUGGCGGCGUGCCUAAUACAUGCAAGUCGAGCGAACAGACGAGGAGCUUGCUCCUCUGACGUUAGCGGCGGACGGGUGAGUAACACGUGGAUAACCUACCUAUAAGACUGGGAUAACUUCGGGAAACCGGAGCUAAUACCGGAUAAUAUAUUGAACCGCAUGGUUCAAUAGUGAAAGACGGUUUUGCUGUCACUUAUAGAUGGAUCCGCGCCGCAUUAGCUAGUUGUUAAGGUAACGGCUUACCAAGGCAACGAUGCGUAGCCGACCUGAGAGGGUGAUCGGCCACACUGGAACUGAGACACGGUCCAGACUCCUACGGGAGGCAGCAGUAGGGAAUCUUCCGCAAUGGGCGAAAGCCUGACGGAGCAACGCCGCGUGAGUGAUGAAGGUCUUCGGAUCGUAAAACUCUGUUAUUAGCGAAGAACAAAUGUGUAAGUAACUAUGCACGUCUUGACGGUACCUAAUCAGAAAGCCACGGCUAACUACGUG
Molecule: ribosomal RNA, 497 nt
Filed under: uncultured bacterium
Lineage: Bacteria
Description: partial 16S ribosomal RNA
Rfam family: Bacterial small subunit ribosomal RNA
Source: RNAcentral